GUCUCUAUGGCUCAGUCGGUAGAGCGUUGGUCUCAUAUUACUCAUCAAUAUGACCCGGCUUGCAAGCCCGGGACAUCCAAAGGUCGCAAGUUCGAGCCUUGCUAGGGACA
RNAcentral lists this transfer RNA (110 nucleotides) under Colletotrichum cereale. Its description in RNAcentral is "tRNA-Met". It matches the Rfam family "tRNA". Rfam says of the family: Transfer RNA (tRNA) molecules are approximately 80 nucleotides in length. Their secondary structure includes four short double-helical elements and three loops (D, anti-codon, and T loops). Further hydrogen bonds mediate the characteristic L-shaped molecular structure. tRNAs have two regions of fundamental functional importance: the anti-codon, which is responsible for specific mRNA codon recognition, and the 3' end, to which the tRNAs corresponding amino acid is attached (by aminoacyl-tRNA synthetases). tRNAs cope with the degeneracy of the genetic code in two manners: having more than one tRNA (with a specific anti-codon) for a particular amino acid; and 'wobble' base-pairing, i.e. permitting non-standard base-pairing at the 3rd anti-codon position. Lineage: Eukaryota; Fungi; Ascomycota; Sordariomycetes; Glomerellales; Glomerellaceae. The record is from RNAcentral.